Long non-coding RNA from Hippocampus zosterae (dwarf seahorse), 496 nucleotides. RefSeq lists it as uncharacterized. The record is from RefSeq and is a predicted model, not a curated record. The transcript has 3 exons. NCBI's taxonomy places the organism in Eukaryota, Metazoa, Chordata, Actinopteri, Syngnathiformes, Syngnathidae.
GGUCGUGUGGAGUUUGAGAAGCGGAGAAAUUGGCCUCGCCGCGAAUGAGAUACGCCGGAGUACAACGCCCAAAUCGGCACAUGAAUGGACGUCCGGAUGGUGACGUCACGCUCGGCCAAUCAUAAAGCGGCUGUAUGGAACGUGUCACUCAAAUCAAGACGUUUUCAUCCCGAUUAACAGAGCUGGAGAUUCCCGGUGACCCACAUCUAAUGAGUUCACAUUGCUGCCUGACCCAGCCAGCCCUCAGCACUUGGACUCCAUCGGCAGCAGCAGCUACCAUCACUACGUGACCCACAUCUCCAUGGUAACAAGUCCAAAAUGGCACCCGGCACAUGGAGAGCUCGCAGAGGAGUGAGAGUGAGUUCACGCAGACAAACGGCUCAGGAUUAGGGUGACUUUCUGCACCCGCCCUCCCGUGCCACUCUACCGGCGAAGUAGGCCAUACUUCAUUGUUUUCCUAUCGAGAUGACAUGCAAAGCUGCCAUUUUCACGCCAC